RNAcentral lists this ribosomal RNA (758 nucleotides) under Lactobacillus delbrueckii subsp. bulgaricus. RNAcentral describes it as "bacterial SSU rRNA". It matches the Rfam family "Bacterial small subunit ribosomal RNA", at positions 35 to 763 of the family's 1533-position model. Lineage: Bacteria; Bacillati; Bacillota; Bacilli; Lactobacillales; Lactobacillaceae. The record is from RNAcentral.
GCUGGCGGCGUGCCUAUACAUGCAAGUCGAGCGAGCUGAAUUCAAAGAUCCCUUCGGGAUGAUUUGUUGGACGCUAGCGGCGGAUGGGUGAGUAACACGUGGGCAAUCUGCCCUAAAGACUGGGAUACCACUUGGAAACAGGUGCUAAUACCGGAUAACAACAUGAAUCGCAUGAUUCAAGUUUGAAAGGCGGCGUAAGCUGUCACUUUAGGAUGAGCCCGCGGCGCAUUAGCUAGUUGGUGGGGUAAAGGCCUACCAAGGCAAUGAUGCGUAGCCGAGUUGAGAGACUGAUCGGCCACAUUGGGACUGAGACACGGCCCAAACUCCUACGGGAGGCAGCAGUAGGGAAUCUUCCACAAUGGACGCAAGUCUGAUGGAGCAACGCCGCGUGAGUGAAGAAGGUUUUCGGAUCGUAAAGCUCUGUUGUUGGUGAAGAAGGAUAGAGGCAGUAACUGGUCUUUAUUUGACGGUAAUCAACCAGAAAGUCACGGCUAACUACGUGCCAGCAGCCGCGGUAAUACGUAGGUGGCAAGCGUUGUCCGGAUUUAUUGGGCGUAAAGCGAGCGCAGGCGGAAUGAUAAGUCUGAUGUGAAAGCCCACGGCUCAACCGUGGAACUGCAUCGGAAACUGUCAUUCUUGAGUGCAGAAGAGGAGAGUGGAAUUCCAUGUGUAGCGGUGGAAUGCGUAGAUAUAUGGAAGAACACCAGUGGCGAAGGCGGCUCUCUGGUCUGCAACUGACGCUGAGGCUCGAAAGCAUG